RNAcentral lists this ribosomal RNA (440 nucleotides) under uncultured bacterium. RNAcentral describes it as "bacterial SSU rRNA". It matches the Rfam family "Bacterial small subunit ribosomal RNA", at positions 338 to 769 of the family's 1533-position model. The record is from RNAcentral.
CCUACGGGGGGCAGCAGUGGGGAAUAUUGGACAAUGGGGGCAACCCUGAUCCAGCAAUUCCGCGUGUGUGAAGAAGGCCUGCGGGUUGUAAAGCACUUUCAGUAGCCAAGAUGGGAUUAUUCAUUAAUACUGGAUAGUCUUGACAUUAACUACAGAAGAAGCACCGGCUAACUCCGUGCCAGCAGCCGCGGUAAUACGGAGGGUGCGAGCGUUAAUCGGAAUUACUGGGCGUAAAGCGCAUGCAGGCGGUCUGUUAAGCAAGAUGUGAAAGCCCGGGGCUCAACCUCGGAACAGCAUUUUGAACUGGCAGACUAGAGUCUUGUAGAGGGGGGUAGAAUUUCAGGUGUAGCGGUGAAAUGCGUAGAUAUCUGAAGGAAUACCGGUGGCGAAGGCGGCCCCCUGGACAAAGACUGACGCUCAGAUGCGAAAGCGUGGGGAGC